GCACCGCUAGUCUAAUGGUUAGGAUAUCUGCCUUCCAAGCAGAUGGUCCCGGGUUCGAUUCCCGGGCGGUGCA
RNAcentral lists this transfer RNA (73 nucleotides) under Perkinsus marinus ATCC 50983. It matches the Rfam family "tRNA". Rfam says of the family: Transfer RNA (tRNA) molecules are approximately 80 nucleotides in length. Their secondary structure includes four short double-helical elements and three loops (D, anti-codon, and T loops). Lineage: Eukaryota; Perkinsozoa; Perkinsida; Perkinsidae. The record is from Rfam by way of RNAcentral.